UUUUAUAAGGCAAACGAAAGGAGUUCAUGGCGCACUGCGGCAUCAAAUUGGAACAGGACGGCGGAUAUUAAAAUCGUCCUCGACUUACGUGAAAUAAUGUGCCAUCGCUACCAACGUCGUCGUCGCAAUAGCAAAAGUGGAUAUAGCUUGGGUUUUAGCCUAGGGAUAACUAAAGUUCCAGAGAUUCACGGGGGUUUUUAGAAGAAAUGAAUAAGCUUUAUGGGGACACAGCUGGCCAGGGAACAAACAGCCGUCAUAAGAGUUUUUAUUGUUGCCGAAGCAAUGUGCAUGGUAUACACAGGUUCAAAUGCAAAUCAAGGCUUAUAGUAAAUAUAUUUGUUUAGUUUGGGCGUGUUCUCGAUCAAAAAUAAAUAAAAAACGAGCAAACUGACACUGGCGACUGCAGCAACAAAAACAACUUAGGAAACGAGAUAUGGAAAAGAUGAUAAAAGACACCCUCGCGCUAAAGCACCCAGAGGAAUUGACUCGCGCACUUAAUCGCUAUUUAACUCCACUGUGCAUGUGCGUAUGUCUAUGUACCCUUGUCUGUAAAUACGUCUGUAUUCCCCAAUUCUUUGAUGUUUUCGCACUUUGAGAUUUUCAAAAAUAGCUGACGCUUGUAAAUAUCUUUUCGGCGAAUCGAUUUGUGGUGCGCGUACAAAAGGAAAAACAAUAAACCACAGAAUCACGCACAAAGCCCUGUAAAUGGUGGGAGAAAUUUAGUGCGACCCAUUGGGCCUUCAAAUACCGCCGGCAGUGAUGGGCGAAACCUUCAAAGAUGAGACGAUGGAGAGCAUUUGGAUGAAUUCCUAUUCUAAUAUUUUGGGUAAAAUAUUUAAACGGGGGAUUGGGACGAAAUUGACUGGGUGAAAGAAAUAAAUAACUAAUAAAUAUUCAUUCCAAA
Molecule: long non-coding RNA, 904 nt
Organism: Ceratitis capitata (Mediterranean fruit fly)
Lineage: Eukaryota; Metazoa; Arthropoda; Insecta; Diptera; Tephritidae
Exons: 3
Source: RefSeq, a predicted model, not a curated record